Molecule: long non-coding RNA, 959 nt
Organism: Acanthopagrus latus (yellowfin seabream)
Lineage: Eukaryota; Metazoa; Chordata; Actinopteri; Spariformes; Sparidae
Exons: 4
Source: RefSeq, a predicted model, not a curated record
GAGCAGUUAACUGGAAUAAAAGACGGUGGAGGGAUGGAGGCGGCAUUUUGUACUGUAAUGUACUUUAACUCUCUUAUUUGGCUGCUGAAUGGAGGAAAAAUUGUAAAGUUACUUCAUGAACAUAUAGAGAAGAGAGAAGAACAGACGCUGCAGGACAACAGACAGAAACCAGCCUGGGAGAAAGUUCCCUGAAGUCUCGGUCCGGAGGGCUGACGGUCGCGGUGAUUUAUUAUCAUCACAGACACUCGCUUUUCAGUUCACACCAAGAUGCAGCCCUGAUUCUAUUUCCAGAGGUGGAUCAACAAUUUACUUUUUGCUGUGGAAACCAGAUGGUGAAAAGUUCACUUCCUCCUCUUCCCCGUUCAGCAUAUUUUCAGUGUUUCCUCCUCGCAGCCACAGCGGUCCAGAGCUCGACCAGAAGUCUGUUCUGCAGCAGACAAUGGGUGACAGGUUCUGAGAAGCACGCGGACUGUGAGGUCGGCACCGUGAAUGCGAGCUAAUGAUGCUGGAGGGAAAUAAUGAGAUCCAGUUACACGACAGGAUCAGACUCUCUGCUGGGUCCUCGGGGAUAAAUUUGUCUUAAUCCCUCCAGCAUGUCUGUCAGGCUGCUGCACCGCUGGAUUACCUGCUGAGCCCGAAAAACAGAACUGUCACAAUCGAGGUUCACGAAGUGGAAACAGGCAGGAAGGACAUUCAGCCCAGACUCGCUCGAACUCUCCAGAAAACAGAUUACAUCUGAAUUUAUCUUUGUGCAACCAGGUGAAAGUCACAUAACAGUUAAACAAGACUUUCCUUCCCACAAGGUGCUUUCUGGGUAAAUAUUACAGGUGGAUGGCUCUGCGUACGUCACUUCACACCUGGAAUCUCAACGCAUGUCAUAAAAGGUCCUCCAAUUGUCAAAUGCUUGAGUAAAAGUAAAAAUAUCAUGUUAGAAUAUUAAUUAACAAGAAAGUCACGUA